This 253-nucleotide ribosomal RNA is filed under the name uncultured bacterium. RNAcentral describes it as "partial 16S ribosomal RNA". It matches the Rfam family "Bacterial small subunit ribosomal RNA", at positions 524 to 776 of the family's 1533-position model. The record is from RNAcentral.
UACAGAGGGUGCGAGCGUUAAUCGGAAUUACUGGGCGUAAAGCGUGCGUAGACGGCUAUCUAAGUCGGGUGUGAAAGCCCCGGGCUCAACCUGGGAAUUGCAUUCGAGACUGAAUAGCUAGGGUACGGUAGAGGGAAGUGGAAUUUCCGGUGUAGCGGUGAAAUGCGUAGAUAUCGGAAGGAACAUCAGUGGCGAAAGCGACUUCCUGGACCAGUACCGACGUUCAGGCACGAAGGCGUGGGGAGCAAACAGG